Molecule: long non-coding RNA, 2319 nt
Filed under: Homo sapiens (human)
Lineage: Eukaryota; Metazoa; Chordata; Mammalia; Primates; Hominidae
Description: long non-coding RNA NONHSAT000821.2
Source: RNAcentral
GAAAAUUCUUUAUUGUUAAUUUCUUUCUCCAACAGAUAUAUUUUUAGUUGAAAUAUGGAGCCACAGCAACACUUUGACUUUUCCUCUUCAGAAGAUGAGACAGGCCGGGGUCAUCAUUGUUACAAAAGCAAGGCCUGUGAUCGUGACAAGGACAGGCUGGGGCAGAGACCACACACUCAACCAGGUAUCCACCAGGUGUGGGCCCUUUAUAGGAGCUACAAAGAGGGGGCAGCCAGCAAUGUGGCCUCGACACCUGACUCCAGGCACUCCGACCUGGAGGAGGGAGAUGAAAGAACUCACCUUUCCCCAGGGGCUCAGCCAGACCUCCAGGCCCCUGAGCGGGGAGAGUGCGUGUGUGUGCACAUGUGUAUGAGUGUGCACACGGGUGUGCUCACUCACACAGCACAUGCACACAUGCGCUGCCCCUCCUGAGAUGCUCUCAGGUCCCUGCCAGGGUAGGGUUGUAGCUGUGUUCCCCACAGCUGACUGUCAGCUAACCAGGGCUAGGGGUGAGUGCAUGGUGGAGGACACAGGGUCUUAGCCUGAUGCUCGAAUCCUCCUUCUGGAACAGGGGAGGGUGGCGGCCCCCUUCCUGAGGACUGCAUCUUUCUCCAGCCGCUCUCCCCAGAUCCCACACCUGCCAGUGAGCCAGGGAGAUAGGAGGACCACCUCCCUCCCAGGGAAGGGGGUGGCAGGUGGAAGGACUUAGGUUUGGUGCAGGAACACUAGACCUGCCCCUCACCCCCUGCCUCCAGGACUGCCAUUCUGAACUGCAAUUCUGGGCCUGAGUUUGGCUUAAGGGCCAGUCUGAAGGGACUUGCUUGGUGAAGGCCCAGCCAGCUGUCCCAGUGGCAUUUCAUAAACAAACGAUACUGUCCCUUCCAGGCUGACCUGGAGAGAGACCCUUCCAAAGGCAGUGGAGUGGAGGGCAUGGGCCUCCGAUGAGAGAACUCCAGAGCUGGCCGGGACCUACUGUGCUGGCAGCAGACAGGUAGGAGCCUGGCUGGGGUAGGUCAGGGGUUGGUGUUUAGCUGGAGGUCUCCUGGGCCUUGUGAGCCAAGCUGGGGCUUUUAUGUGGGUUCUGGGCUCCCAGAGACCUCCGCCAGAUGACCUCCAGAGUCUUUGGGGUCUCACACUGGGAGAAGCUCCUCCCCUUUCCAAGAUGACCCCCAAAAUGAGGCCUCAGGAAGUGGUACACAGAAGGAUGGCCAAGAGGACAGAGCUGGGUAGUACGCCUCUGCUGGGCGCGGCCUGGCCGGUGGGGCCUGGACGGUGCCUCAGCAAUCCCUUUCUCACCAAGGGACGCUGGCUGGUUGCCAGCUCAUGCAGGCAGUGCACAUAAAUCCCGCCUAACGGUUACCUCUAGGCCCUGGGCUGCUCGUUCAAGACGACACAAAGCUCCUCAGGGGCCCAACUUUCCAGCUGUGGACCCUGCUCAGGGUUCUCGGGGUCCCCUUGCUGGUGGAGGCAGGUGCACUCAUUAAAGCAAAUGUACUCUCCAGGUGGACCCUCAGGCCCAGAGCCGGCAGCAGAGGGGGGUGAAUCCAUGGCAACAGGAGUCACAGGUGAACCAAUGGGAAACCAAACACACGCAUCGAAAGCCAAUCAAACACAAACCCCAAAUGUGAAGGCAGCAGCAAGUUCUUUGUGUAAUAAAUAUUGCAAAGCGCACUUGGUUUCUUUCUUUUCAAGUCAAAUAUAACGACUAAUGUCCCAGACCCUGUUUUCUGCAUUCAAAAUAGGGAAGCUGUUGAUAUCAGCAGAACACCUGCAGCCAAAGAAAAAAACCGUUUCCCAUUAACCAGCCAAUCACAGAUCCUUUCCAGUUUAAGCAGCCAAUCAGACCUCUUCACAUUUCUAAAAAAAUGACCUAACUAAAGCACCAGAGCUCGGAGAGCUUCCAGGGAAGCCAGAUACCGAGGCGCAAAUUUUUUAAAAAAUAAGAGUCAGAAAUAAAAAUAAAAGGUUUCUGUUGGUCAAGAUUUAAAAAAUAAAAAAGUUUCUUCCUGCAGCCAAUCACAAGUCCAUCCCUUUAAGCCAAUUAUAAACGCACCACUGGUGUCUCCCUUGAUGCCAGCCCCACUGAGUAGCUGUGAGGUGGGGUGGGGCAGGGCAGGGUUGGGUAGGGGAAGGGGGAGGUGGGGCAAGGGGGGCUGCUGCCACUCAGCCGGCCCAGGAGCCACACAGAUCUCUUGGCCCUCAACAGCAUCCAGGGUGUUCCAAGGGCUUUGCAGCUACUGCCUCCGGUCUUCCGUCUCCGACCUGGAAAACGCCAUCACCACGUCCUCUGCACCUGCAGAUAAGGCGACAAGGAUCGCU